UUGGUGGGGUGAUGGCCUACCAAGGCGACGACGGGUAGCCGGCCUGAGAGGGUGUCCGGCCACACUGGGACUGAGAUACGGCCCAGACUCCUACGGGAGGCAGCAGUGGGGAAUAUUGCACAAUGGGCGCAAGCCUGAUGCAGCGACGCCGCGUGGGGGAUGACGGCCUUCGGGUUGUAAACCUCUUUCACCAUCGGCGAAGCCCGUAGCUUUUGUUGUGGGUGACGGUAGGUGGAGAAGAAGCACCGGCCAACUACGUGCCAGCAGCCGCGGUAAUACGUAGGGUGCGAGCGUUGUCCGGAAUUACUGGGCGUAAAGAGCUCGUAGGUGGUUUGUCGCGUUGUCCGUGAAAUUCCCUGGCUUAACUGGGGGCGUGCGGGCGAUACGGGCAGACUGGAGUACUGCAGGGGAGACUGGAAUUCCUGGUGUAGCGGUGGAAUGCGCAGAUAUCAGGAGGAACUCCGGUGGCGAAGGCGGGUCUCUGGGCAGUAACUGACGCUGAGGAGCGAAAGCGUGGGGAGCGAACAGGAUUAGAUACCCUGGUAGUCCACGCCGUAAACGGUGGGUACUAGGUGUGGGUUUCCUUCCUUGGGAUCCGUGCCGUAGCUAACGCAUUAAGUACCCCGCCUGGGGAGUACGG
Molecule: ribosomal RNA, 640 nt
Filed under: uncultured bacterium
Lineage: Bacteria
Description: bacterial SSU rRNA
Rfam family: Bacterial small subunit ribosomal RNA
Source: RNAcentral